UUAGACGGAAAAUAUGAAAUUAAAAAAGUUGCCUGGGUGUUUAUCUCAAACCCUGAGACUUUAAAUUCAAACCCUGUAGACAUUUUGGAGUACUUAAGUUUUUAACACAAAGAAUUAAAACUUUAUCUUAUUCAACUAGUUCAAAAAGGACUUGCAUAUUUAUUGAACUUUUACGAUUUCGUAGAUUUUCGCAUUAUUUGCUUAGCUCAUUUCCAUAAAAUGCCGACUAGCUGUCUGACCUCCACAUGUCAACACAACUCAUUAAGUUGCAAUCAGUGUUGCACCCUUCGGUUUGUCCGACUUCCGGAUAUUAACUGUGAACUAAUGACUUGCAAAUUUUAUGCAAAUUGGGUGUCAAAUGAUGGCGUCGAAGGGGGACGAACCGAGAAUGUCGUGUUAUAUGACAAUUUAAUCGCUCACUCCUUCCGGAAACUUUGGACAUGUACCACUCCCAAGAUUAUGGUAAGAAAGUAUUUUAAGGAAUAUGGGAAAGUUGUUAAACCUAAGUACUAUUUAAGAUCGAGGAAGCCUAAGCAAAUACCGCUGUCCCAGUUUUGAUUAAUAUUUGUUUGGACAGUCAAGAGGAAGAAUUGCUCACCCAGGGGAAAACCCACCCCGAUCCCAUUAUUCUGGCUUUGCCAAUUUUUCGCAAAGGAAAAUUAAAGGAAAAUAAGCAUCAGGCAGGAGGAGAGAAAAAGGCUAAGGGAAUAGGUAGAAUCGCAGGAUUGCAGUCCAGCCAGGCAUGAAGACACUUUUGCCACAGCUUAGCUCGAUCGGGCAGGGUCAGGGUCCAUUAGGUUAAAUGAUAUUGAUGAUGAUCGCAGAACCGAUGCGUCGAUCAGCUGGCGCUAUUUCCUAUUUGGCAUCCGGGGGGUUGGUUUGCCCAAGAUGUGCGGAUCUGCUUUCUUAUUGCCCCCGGCCUGGGAAAUUUCUCACAUUUUCACACAAAAACUAUUGAGCUGUCUGCGCUGGCCGUGGUCCAAGUUGUGAUAAUAAAGCAAUUAAUAGGAUUAUAUAUGCAAGGAUCUAUUGGCGGAUCUGUUGACAGUUGGGUGGCUAGGGGUCAAGUUGCGCUGGUCAUUUGGCUCAGGAUAAGGAAGGGAUGGGGCUAGUCACAUUGUGAGCCAUUCUAGGCAACAUUUCAUCGAAAAUGACCCUGCAAUGCGAUCCUUUAAUUCGCCGCGCUUUUCGAUGGAUUUUCUCCUUAAUCUGAAUCGAUCGAUCGUCGGGGGGAAAAGGGUUGCCCGGCAACAAAGACGAAAGUUUCGAAUUUCC
This is a non-coding RNA of Drosophila melanogaster (fruit fly), 1275 nucleotides long. NCBI's taxonomy places the organism in Eukaryota, Metazoa, Arthropoda, Insecta, Diptera, Drosophilidae. The record is from Ensembl.